AACGAACGCUGGCGGCAUGCCUAACACAUGCAAGUCGAACGAGACCUUCGGGUCUAGUGGCGCACGGGUGCGUAACGCGUGGGAAUCUGCCCUUGGGUUCGGAAUAACUCGCCGAAAGGCGUGCUAAUACCGGAUGAUGUCGUAAGACCAAAGAUUUAUCGCCCAGGGAUGAGCCCGCGUAAGAUUAGGUAGUUGGUGAGGUAACGGCUCACCAAGCCGACGAUGGAUAGGGGAGCUGAGAGGCUGACCCCCCACACUGGGACUGAGACACGGCCCAG
Molecule: ribosomal RNA, 278 nt
Filed under: uncultured bacterium
Lineage: Bacteria
Description: partial 16S ribosomal RNA
Rfam family: Bacterial small subunit ribosomal RNA
Source: RNAcentral